Molecule: ribosomal RNA, 253 nt
Filed under: uncultured bacterium
Lineage: Bacteria
Description: partial 16S ribosomal RNA
Rfam family: Bacterial small subunit ribosomal RNA
Source: RNAcentral
UACGAAGGGGGCUAGCGUUGUUCGGAAUGACUGGGCGUAAAGCGCGCGUAGGCGGAUCAGAAAGUUGGGGGUGAAAUCCCGGGGCUCAACCUCGGAAUGGCCUUCAAAUCUCCUGGUCUUGAGUUCGAGAGAGGUGAGUGGAAUUCCGAGUGUAGAGGUGAAAUUCGUAGAUAUUCGGAGGAACACCAGUGGCGAAGGCGGCUCACUGGCUCGACACUGACGCUGAGGUGCGAAAGCGUGGGGAGCAAACAGG